GAUCUGCUGCUUAUCACUAAAUUGACUCUGACGAUGGUGGCCGGCAAGGCCCUGGCCUGAGGGAGCUCUGAGAUCCACGUGGCUGCCUCUGACUACUGCUCAUCCACGUGAUGCCAAACACUUUCCACAAGUGACCUUUACUCCUUCCUUUAUUGCUGCAAGGAUGACAUCGGCCAGCACACCGAACAUCUGGUAGAGCCCAGAAGCCUCAUUCACGCGCCGCACGAUGGAGCUGGUCAGCUGUGUGAUGGGGAGCUUGGUGGCGGGCCAGGUGACGCUGUGGUGGCGGUGCUCCAGGAGCCGGUGAACAGCACGCACUGGAACAGCCAGAGGGAGGAACGGCAUGCUGCACUUACCAUUUUAUCUCUGGUCACCCAGGCCUCAUCGACCCCUGAGAACGCCAUACACGCUGGUCUCCAUGGCCCAGCGCAAAUGCGUAGGUGGUGAACAC
This 451-nucleotide long non-coding RNA is filed under the name Pan troglodytes (chimpanzee). RNAcentral describes it as "long non-coding RNA NONPTRT009600". The record is from RNAcentral. Lineage: Eukaryota; Metazoa; Chordata; Mammalia; Primates; Hominidae.